Molecule: long non-coding RNA, 807 nt
Organism: Rattus rattus (black rat)
Lineage: Eukaryota; Metazoa; Chordata; Mammalia; Rodentia; Muridae
Exons: 3
Source: RefSeq, a predicted model, not a curated record
AUAUUCUUUUGUUCUCUUCCCCACAUUAUCUGUUUGUUGAUGGCCAUGGAUGCGCAGAACAAACUCCUUUUGGUAUCCAUUCCUAAUAACUUAGUUGUGUCAUUUGCUGCAUUAAUACUGUGUGUUUAGGGAUUCAAGAUACAUAGUGAGCAGACUGCAAGUUACAAAUUUUAAUUUCAAGAAGCAUUCAAGAUGCUUGUUAGCACUUGAAGGCAGAUGAGUACUUAGGAAUUGCUCGAGUGGGGCAGUAACAGAAGGGAGCGAUGAUUGGUAGGCUGGGGGAAAGGUAUUGUGGUAUAGACAGCAUGGGAAACAAAAGCCUCCUGUUUCCUCGGCUGUUGUAAGAAGUUCAAACAAAUCUGGCUGCUGGGGAUUUUUUGGAACAAAAGUUGGGAACAAGAUGUAGCAAAACUGAAAUUCUGAGCGUGAAACUUCAAAGUCGUUUCUAUGAGGAAUAGGUACAGAGAGUGCCAGGCUCCUACAGGAACUGAGACAGGCCCUGCCUGAGUAGACUGCUAUUACAGAUGGUCACCUAUACUGUUUCUCAGUUCUGUGAGUGGGUGGGGAAAAUGUUGCUGUCCAUCCAUUCUACAGUUUGGUCAUCAGUGCCUUGCCAAAACAGCCAAGAAUGAGCAUGCGGAUCAGGAAAACCCAUCAGAUUAUUAGGUAGUGUUUCUUCUAGUCCAAGUGCUAUUUUAGAUGCAUUAGAUACAUUGUCUCAAAUUUAUUCAGUUUUUAACUUCCAUAUUUUCAUCCAGAUUCAAAAUUAGCUACAUUGAGUCAUCCACAGGCAUAUGAAUAGGUACU